GAAAUUCAAGACAUGUUCCCUUUCAGUGUCACCUCAUUGCUCUGUUUCCCUCUUCCAGAAUGAAUACGUUUUAUUUUACAAACAGGAUGACUGGGGACUUAAAAACUGAGAAAUGGAGUUCCCGUUGUAGAGCAGCAGAAAUCUGACUAGGAGCCGUGAGGUUGGGGGUUCGAUCCCUGGCCUUGCUUACUGGGUUAAGGAUCUGGCGUUGCUGUGAGCUGCAGUGUAGUUUCCAGACAUGGCUUGGAUCCUGCUUGGCUGUGGCUGUGGUGUAAGCAGGCAGCUGUAGCUCCGAUUAGACUCCUGGCCUGGAAACCUCUAUAUACCUCAGUGUGGCCCUAAAAAAGAAAAAACAACAAAAAAACCUGAGAACCGCAGACAGCUGUUGGAGAAGUGAGGAUUAAGUCACCUCACCAGCGACACGUAGCUUCUGGAACAGGGUUUUAAGAGCAUAUGAGCAGCUUUACCUCAUUUGGAGAUAAAGUCACACCAAACACAUGGUGAAUUUCCGUGGUGCGAACCUCACUGAGCUGGAGGGCAGGGUGGGAAGUGAAGGGGUGCCUGGAAACGGGAGGAUGCAGGAGUCCAAGAGCCGAACUUACUGACGUGACAGUCUUACCUGGGCCGGCCCUGCCCUCGCUUAGAACAGUGGGAGGAGGCAGCCCCAUCCUGUUAGGAAACCGCUCCCUGUUUGGGGCUGCCGUCUCGGGCGUGCUGCUUGCAGGCUCAGGAGGAGCUGGUUCAGGGAGCUGGCGCUCUCCCCUAGCACCUGAGCCGGGGGAGCUGGCCUUCCCAGUUGGGUGAAGGCGUGCAUGCUCGUGCCAUGGGUGUGGGUGAGCUGUGGUGCUGAGGCUGUGAGAUCAGCCCAGCACUGGCUUCCCCCGCAACCUGGGGAUUGGGGUUCUCUGGGCAGGCAGGCCAAGUUGUCAUUAGGAUUCUCCAGUAGCGCCCUGGGUUGUUUUGCAGGGGAGGGUGCUUUUUUUCUGGUUUUGCUUUUUGACUGUUUUUUGGUUUGUUUUAGGGUCAUGACAGUCUAUGUGACACAUCUGAUCACCCAGCUUAGUCAAAAGUCUGUGGCCCUUGCUUUUUUUUUUUUUCUUUUUCCCCUUUGCUUUUGUGGCCGCCCUGAGGCGUGUGGAGUUCCUGGGCCAGGGAGCAGAUCAGAGCCGCAGCGGUGACCUGUGCCAGGUCGUUUAACCCACUGUGCUGGGCGGGGGACCAAACCUGCGUCCUGGCGCUGCACAGCCACCGCCGAUCCAGUUGCGCCGCAGUGGGAACUCUGGCCCUCGCUUUUUCGAGAAAGCACACCCUGGUUAGAAUGUCCUCGUCCCUCCCGCAGGAGCUUCGCUGCGGCGUCCGCACUUGCUGAACGAGUCGGCUCUGUGUCCACUGCUGUUGGCCGGUGGCCACCCAGGAAGAAAGUGGCCUCGCCAGGAAAGCAGCGAACUGGGCCUUGGCCAUGAGCCGGAUUCACUCCCCCAGCAUCUCUCUGAAAUGCCUUUGGGGGGUGUGAUUCUGGGGGGGCCCGAAGUGCUCCUGCCUCUGACGUCUGGGCACGGGCAACAAGGAGCAGAUUCUCAGGGGACAGCCAUCCAGAAUGAAACCCAGUUUCUCAGGGCGUCACAGAGGUGGAAAUCUGGCUCUAUGACCAGAACAGGCACAUCAGGAAUCCUGGGGGGAAAAAAAAUCCGCGAAGAUCUUAACGAUGGGAGAACAUUCUUGUAACAAAGAAAAGGCAAGCCCCUCCGAGACAGCAGGUGCAGAGAAGACCUCUGAAUGGCGCAUUUGGGGUUUGAAGUUUCAGCUGCUCCUAUCUUCCAGCCCAAGGGAGGCCCCGCCCGGCCUCCAUAGGGUCUCCUGGCCCAGCCACCUUCUGGUGGGCAGGUGCCAGCCAGUAGCAGCCUCCCGGCGGGCACAGGAAUCUGUCCUCCAGACGGUGGGGAGGAAGAAUCUGAGUAGAUGCGUUCGCAGGCCUCUGGCGGCAGCCGCUGGAGGCUGGGUGCGGGUGGGGCUGCCCAAGGCCCCCGGCUGCUGGCUGGAGCUGCUGUGGCGGUCACGUUGAGGCAGCACGUGCAGCGCCCGCGGGGGGGGGGGGGAACCCACGUGUCUCCAGACAAUAAAGGACAGUGAAGAAGGGCGCCCAGUGCUUGUGAACGGCGGGGUGGGGGCUGAGGGUGGCUUCAAGAGAAUGGGCACAGCCGAUGACUAGGGACUCCGGAUCAGGGAGAGACAGCAGUGAGUGAUGGCUUGAAGGAGAGCCUAAUUCUCUGCUCAGGAACAGCACCUGGGCAGCCUGGAUGAAACCCAGGAAUCCUAGUCCCUAGACCAGCUAGAGCCUAGAAGCGGAAUCGCCCUGAUUCUUGGCUGCUGGUGGAAAGAAGGUUUCAAGGAGGCGGAGACGGUAAAACCAGGUAUGAAGUUUAUUGUUAGAGACUCAGUACAGCAUGUGGGGGCGCACCCGGAGAAGUGGUUUAUUUAAGUCCGAAGCGAAGCAGUAACACACACCCUAAAGGGGAGCGCGGGUGUGGGCGCCCCCCUGAGCGAGGAGCGGACCAGAGAGGUGAUUUGAUCACUCAGGGCACAGUUCUUCCAGGUCUGUCUUUCCCUUUGGCUAAUUCCCUGGUGUCAUGUCUCACACCCGACUGCACCCAGCACCCUCCUCGGGAGGCGGGCGCAUCUUGUGACAAAGGUGGGGUCCGGAGCAAGGGCUUCUGGGACGGUAUCCGGACGGACUCCAACCUGGCGCCCCCUCCCUUUCAGACCCCUAGGGGUCUUACUGCGCAUGUGUAGUUGGGGAGGCUCCUUGACCCCGGAGGGGUUGAAGCGGUCCCCUUAGCUUUCUGCUCCAGCAGAGCUCAGCUGCUGCAAUGACUUUCUCCGUGGCGUGUCACACAGAAGCCAGGCCCGUGUCCUCGGCCCGACGAGCCCCAGCCGUUCUCGGCCCGGGGCCCGUCUGCCUCCUGCCUCACCCUCAGGAGCAGAGCCCGCAGCCGGGCCUGGCCUCACCCGCCUGGGUGGCCCACUGGGUGGAUGGAGGUGGGAGAGGGCGAGGCCCUCGGCUGCGAUGGUCUUGCUCUCCUCCUCCAAGCAGGCCAGGAAGACGGGGAGCGCCGGGCACGGGCAGCGCUUACGGCACCGCCCAGCUGAGGCCCAGCUGAGGGCAGGGCCUAGACUGUCAGAGGCUGCGCUGUGGGUGUGGAAACAGGACCCACCUUCUGAUGGUCUGUUAGGAUCUUUCUCGGAUGGAUUUCUUUCUUUUUCUUUUUUCUUUUUUUUCUUUCUUUCUUUUUUUUUUUUUUUUUUUUUUUUGCUUUUUAGGGCUGCAUCCACAGCAUAUGGAAGUUCUCAGGCUAGAGGUCAAAUCAGAGCUGCAGCUGCCAGCCUACACCACAGCUCACAGCAACGCCAGAUCCUUAACCCACUGAGCUGGGCCGCAUCCUCAUGGAUACAAGUCAGGUUCUUAACCCACUGAACCACAGUGGGAACUCCCCAGAGGGAUUUUAGAGGCUCUCUGCUGCACACAAUUCUAAGAAGACCAGGAGCAGGUGGCAAGUUCUAGAUGGUCAGCACUGCUCUGCUUCUGAGGAUGAUGGUCCGGCUGCAGCAGCUUGACUGCCCUCACAUGUGAGUGGCUGGGCUGCUGUGGGGCUGCUUCCCGGCCUCCAGAGGCCACGCAGCUGCUAACAGGCCUCUGAGCACCUGGGAGUCUGUUCUGGGUUCUGUAAUGUGGGUUUUUGCGAAGUAGGAAAUGUGAACAGCUGAAAAAAUACUAUCCAUCGUCGACCUUGCUCUAGUUUCUGAUCCUUGAUCCGUUUUUUUCCUUUUUCAGCCACACCUGCGGCCUGUGAAAGUGCCUGAGCCAGGGACUGAAUCCAAGACUCAUCUGCGAACUGUGCCACAGCUGCAGCAAUGCCAGAUCCUUAACUUACAGUGUCACAGCGGGAACUCC
This 3949-nucleotide long non-coding RNA is filed under the name Sus scrofa (pig). Its description in RNAcentral is "lncRNA (ENSSSCG00000060969.1)". Lineage: Eukaryota; Metazoa; Chordata; Mammalia; Artiodactyla; Suidae. The record is from RNAcentral.